Molecule: long non-coding RNA, 2040 nt
Organism: Rhagoletis pomonella (apple maggot)
Lineage: Eukaryota; Metazoa; Arthropoda; Insecta; Diptera; Tephritidae
Exons: 2
Source: RefSeq, a predicted model, not a curated record
AAUACCAUCUUCCCUAACUUACGAUUUAUUCCCUCCAACAUUGUAUAUGCAUGUAAUUCAUUACGUACGUACAUAUGUGCGUGUAUGUGCAUAUGUGCGUAGAUGUAACCAACAAUAAUGCAAUUUUAUAGAAAAAAAAACUUUUACAAAAUUUAGCCACUGCCUUUCCUGAUUUUUAAUCUAUUAAUACAGUUUUUCUAUGUCUUUGGCUUCAGAGAAAAAGCCUCCAGUGUUAGUAAAAAAGUGUGAAUGUAUCGAAACUUGAGAGCAAGUUCUUGGACGGGUUACGUCGAAUUUAUUAAAGCACAUAACGCUCAUAUCGCGUCCAAAGGAGGAAUCUUUUUAGCAAGGCCCUGUCUGAAAGCGUUUAUUUAGAAGCGCUGCUUAAUUUGCCAACUGGUUUCCUAUUUCUACCCAUUCAAGUUUUUUUUUUAAUUUGCCAUCGUAUUUUUACAUAUAUUUAGUGUAAGACCAAAAAAUCUACACAACGUACUCCCUCUUCAAAAGAGCCACAGCUAAAAAUCAGAUCCGGAAAUAUAACUGCUUGAACAUAUUCAACGCAAAUAAUACAAAAAUAGGUAUAACAGUUCAUUUAUGAAAAACAUCUGCCUAUUUUUUUUUUUUAGUUGUUUUGAAGAAUGUGCGCGGUAUGUAUGUAUUUGGUAUCAAUUAUACGAUAAAAUACGCUUAGCUCGGCUAAAAUACAAAUAAAAAUUGUUUUCGAGAUAGGUACUUAGUCAUAUUUUUCUAGACUUGAAUGUGAAUCGAAAUCCUCAAGCCCAUUAUUUAUUUCGAACGGGUUACCACCGUGAGCCUCAUUAUCGUUGCCAAUUGACUUAAAACUAAAAUCGUCGAUUCCUAAAACUAAGCUGUUUUUGUUUAAUCUAUUCGAAAUGUUGUUAAAAAAGACAUUUGCAGAAAUUUGUCUGUAGAACUUGGAUAAUUGGCGAAAUUCCAUAACGAGACAGCAACAUUAUGAGACCUUUAUGAAAAGGAGAUAUCUUGCUUGCGAUCCCGCUAAUUUGGACAACAGGCCGUAACUAGGAAUAACGGAGUUUCAUAAUGAUUUUCUCUGAAGGAAGCCGUGAAGAAUUAGGGUUGUCAUUAGAACCAAAGCUUUAGACCUUAAUAUCAAUUUAGUUAGUGAAUUUUUAUUAUUAUUUUUUCCUCUAAUUUUACCCACUGAUUUAAUUUUUUUCUUUUUGUAGCAAGGUAAAGAGAAGAAAAAUCGAAGAUCUAAUUAGUUUCGAAUUGACCUUAAUUAACGCGUGCAAAACUCUAACAAAACUUAACAAUUUUUGCUAACAACUACAAAGAACCGCUGAUGAGACUUCAAGCCCCUCCCGCUCAUAUAAUCCUCAAUCAACCAACUAACCAUUAAUAAUAAUUAACACUGAACUAAUAAAUAUCUCAUGUAAAUAACCUUUUGUGCAUUCUGUUUUACAAAAUUUUUGCUGCUGCUCUGAAUUCCUGAAAACGCAGAUACGCCGCAAGAGAGUAUGCAGAUCCCUAUUUAGGACAUGGCAUCGGACCGGUACCCGGCUAUGGGGCAACCAUGUAUCGAGGUGGAUUCAAUCGUUUCACGCCAUAUUAAUUUAAGAAGAUACCUGGACGACUAGGUAUGGAGCAGCAAGUUCAUGCUGUAAACGAGGGAGCAUUCUCCUAGCAGCUGCGCUCACCACCCACACUCAAUGAUUUACACAUCACAUGAAACCAAAUAUGAAUAUGUAUUGCAUAAGGACAUAAAUUUAGUGUUAAGUUAAGAGAUACAUGAAAACCUUGAAAUGCUCAAGAAACAAUGCAAUUUUUAAUGAAGCAACCAAAAAAUACUCAUGCCAACCAAGCGUAAUUACGAUGAGAUUAAAAUCAAAUAUUUAUAUGAUAGCACAGCCAAGCAAAGAUUAUAAAGUAUAAACUUAGUUGAAGAUUAUCUAUAACAUAUACAUACUCACAUAUAUAAAGAGAUAUGUGCAUAUAAUUGAAAAAGGCAGUAAAAAAAAAACAGAAGACACAAUUAACGGAAAAAUGCGUAGUUGUUAA